CUUUCAAUUGUUUUAUGCUUGCAUAAAUGAUUUUUGGAUUCGGAGCGAGUGGCGAACUGGUGAGUAACACGUGGGUAACCUGCCCCGAAGCGGGGGAUAACAUUUGGAAACAAGUGCUAAUACCGCAUAAUUAGUUGGAACCGCAUGGUUCCAACUUGAAAGAUGGCUCUGCUAUCACUUUGGGAUGGACCCGCGCCGUAUUAGUUAGUUGGUGAGAUAAAAGCCCACCAAGACGAUGAUACGUAGCCGACCUGAGAGGGUAAUCGGCCACAUUGGGACUGAGACACGGCCCAGACUCCUACGGGAGGCAGCAGUAGGGAAUCUUCCACAAUGGACGAAAGUCUGAUGGAGCAACGCCGCGUGAGUGAUGAAGGUUUUCGGAUCGUAAAACUCUGUUGUUAAAGAAGAACAAGUGUUAGAGUAACUGUUAACACUUUGACGGUAUUUAACCAGAAAGCCACGGCUAACUACGUGCCAGCAGCCGCGGUAAUACGUAGGUGGCAAGCGUUGUCCGGAUUUAUUGGGCGUAAAGCGAGCGCAGGCGGUUUUGUAAGUCUGCUGUGAAAGCCCUCAGCUCAACUGAGGAAGUGCAGUGGAAACUACAAAACUUGAGUACAGAAGAGGAAAGUGGAACUCCAUGUGUAGCGGUGAAAUGCGUAGAUAUAUGGAAGAACACCAGUGGCGAAGGCGGCUUUCUGGUCUGUUACUGACGCUGAGGCUCGAAAGCAUGGGUAGCGAACAGGAUUAGAUACCCUGGUAGUCCAUGCCGUAAACGAUGAAUACUAGGUGUUGGAGGGUUUCCGCCCUUCAGUGCCGCAGCUAACGCAUUAAGUAUUCCGCCUGGGGAGUACGACCGCAAGGUUGAAACUCAAAGGAAUUGACGGGGGCCCGCACAAGUGGUGGAGCAUGUGGUUUAAUUCGAUGCUACGCGAAGAACCUUACCAGCUCUUGACAUCUUCUGCCAACCCAAGAGAUUGGCGUUCCCUUCGGGGACAGAUGACAGUGGUGCAUGGUUUGUCGUCAGCUCGUGUCGUGAGAUGUUGGGUUAAGUCCCGCACAAGCCCACCCUUAUUAUUAGUGCCAGCAUUUAAUGGCACCUUUAGGGAGACUGCGUGAUAACGGAGAGGUGGGGACAACCUCAAUAAUUAUGCCCC
Molecule: ribosomal RNA, 1154 nt
Filed under: Apilactobacillus kunkeei
Lineage: Bacteria; Bacillati; Bacillota; Bacilli; Lactobacillales; Lactobacillaceae
Description: bacterial SSU rRNA
Rfam family: Bacterial small subunit ribosomal RNA
Source: RNAcentral